This 1715-nucleotide long non-coding RNA is filed under the name Arabidopsis lyrata. RNAcentral's name for it is "long non-coding RNA (ALYR_LNC001845)". Lineage: Eukaryota; Viridiplantae; Streptophyta; Magnoliopsida; Brassicales; Brassicaceae. The record is from RNAcentral.
AAAUUUAUUUCAUGGUUUUAAUAGUUAAAUCAUGUUUACUUUGGUUUACUAAAAUCGGUUUACACAUUUGAUUUGGUUAUAUUUGGUUUACACAUUUGAUUUAGAAUGUUUAAUCUUUAUUGGUUUGGUUAUGAGUAAUCCAUUAAUCCAUUCUAACAUAAACUAUUUCAAUCCAAUUCAUUAAACUCACUAAUCCAUUAAAUCCAUUAAUCCAUUAAGAUCCAAAUUUCUCAUUCAUUAUAUCCAUGGAUUGGAUUGGUUUGGAUUGAUCCAUUAACUUUUAUCCAUUUUGACACCCCUAGCCAGACGUGAGCCCGUAAUUACAACGGCACAUGAAGAAACAAUCUGCUCCACCGUGAAUCUCUCACCACUCUCCUCACCCAAACCAUCCCCAAGCGCGCUAUAAUAGUACUGCAAAGCCUCCACGAAUCUCCCUAAAAAGCUUCCUCCAUCGUCGUAGCUCAAUUUUUGCUCCACCACCGUAAUCAGAUUCGGUUUCAGCUUCCGUAAAAUCUCCAACGUCUCGAGAUCGUUCCGGGUGACGUCAUAUAACCGGUGUUGCAUCUAGUGAACCACCACGGCUUCGCCUUGUCUCGGAUCGAUUAGGUUUCCGAUUUUUCCUUCAAUUGGUUGAAAUUCGAAAGGGAGGUUUAACGAUGAUGCGAAGUCGGCGAUCCGAUCAAUGAGAUCAUUCAAUCAUCUGCGAUCUAUUGAGAAGAUAACUGAAAAAGAAAUAGAUGAUAAAUUUUGUGUGUUUGGUUUUCUUUCUCGAAGAAGAAGAUGAAGGAUAGUAGAGAAUUUUGAUUUCUCACGAAGAGGAAGAGAAGAAGAAGAAGAAGAAGAAGAAGAAGGUUUUUUAGCCGUUACAAGGUUUUGUGAUUUUGUAGAUAUUGUAUAGAUUUUCUAGCCGUUACAAGGUUUUGUGAUUUUGUAGAUAUUGUAUAGAUUUUCUAGCCGUUACAAGGUUUUGUGAUUUUGUAGAUAUUGUAUAGAUUUUCUAGCCGUUACAAGGUUUUGUGAUUUUGUAGCUUUAGCUCUGUAUAAAUAUGUGAACCUUAUUAUGUAGAAGCUGCGGAGUCUUUUCUUGAUUAAAUAAAGGAAAUUUUGUUAACAAAAGCAAUCAUCACAAAAAUUUCCUUUUUUUUUUUUAAGGUUGAGUAUUUUCCUUUUUUUUUGUUGUUUCCUUUUUUUUUUUUUUUAACCUUUUUAAUAUAUUUGGGGGCUUUAAUUAAUUAAUUAAAUACACAGAGUAAGAUGAAGAAUAUCAACUCCAUUCCCUUAGGAGGUCUCUGAUGCUUAUAUAAUGUGCACGUUCGUUGAGGAGCUAAGAAGAAUCAGAUGGUCCAAUUAACCAAGAGAUUGACCCGAUAAAACCAUUCAUGGGACCAGCGUGAGUCAGAGGAAAACUAAAACUUUGUUCUUUUUUUUUUGUCUUUUCAUUUCAGUUGUCAUAGUGGUUUUUCCAAUAUGGUUUUGGUUUGGUUGGUUAAACUGGAUCGACCAUCCCUACAUUAAACAAACAAUUCUGAACAAGUAACUGGAGCUAUGAUUAGUUUGUAAACUCUAUUUAUCGUUUAUGGAGCAAAUGGAGGUAAAGGAAGUGGUUCCAUGUAUCAGGAACACCAGGGAGACACCAAUGACUGCAAUCUUGGACAGCUUUUGAACGCCGGUUUUCGGGUUUUGUUCCGUAAAUAGACGGGUGGGCGUCAAUUCUG